GGAAGCGUGGUAGGAGAAGAUGCCUGUGCAUGCCGCUCAUGUUUCCAGCAGGGCAAUGUAGAUGCAUGUCAGGAAAGAUGAUUAGAUAGUUUAGAACCAGAUCCUUGUCUGAGAUGGAAACUGCAGCUGCUAAUUAAGAAGAGUAGAGCUCGAGGAAGCCGCCAGCUGCCAGCCUGGUGCUGCCUCUCCUGCAAGUGUGAAGUGUGGCUGCAUCCAGAAGCACUGAAAAUAAUUGAUUAGAAAGAGAAAGAGACUGAAAAUGUCAUAAAUGAGGAGAUAAUUGGAGAAAAUCAUUGUGAAGAGGUAUGAAUGGAUGGCAACACAAAUGGAGUAAGACUUAAAGAGAUAUAAGCCUACCAAAUGCUGACAUGAUUUUUGUGAGUUGUGAAGAUUUAAAGAAAUCUGUUUGAAUAACAAUUUUUGAGGCUACCUAUAAAUUUGUGUUCAUUACUUCCACUAAGCAAGGUUCUUUUGAUUAUUCUUUGAUCAUUGAAAUGUUUUAUAUUUUAUUUAAUUUACAGCAACAAAAAUAACUCUUGAGAAGAAAUAAAUGUGAACCUAUGGAGAUAAUUAUUUAGUAAUGUUUGAAAUAUAUGAUUUAGAACAUUUCAUUGCACUUAUUAAUGAGUAUAAGAAUAUUAUGAAAACAGAAAAAUAAUGAGCCUUGUAAGAGUUCACACAAUUAUUUUAUGUAAUUGGUAUUCUAUAUUCAAGGAGAGCUUGAAUGCAGAAAUUAAAGAAGCAUAUGCUCAUUUGAAAAGAGACAAAUCUAGUAGUGUAAUUAAAGCUUGUGCCUUAUAACACAAUAAAAAUAUUCAGAAGGAUUUUAUCCUUAAUUGUGACAUAAAAUGAUUUCUAACCUUUAUUUUUUGAGUCAGAAAAAACGGAGGAAGCAUGGGUUCUUCUUUGCUAUAUGAAAUCAAAGUAACUUUACAAAUUUGAAGUGCUUAGUUAUCUAAAAUCAUAUCAUGGAAAGAUAUAUAUUUAUAUUUUGAUUGUUUUAUGUAUGUAACUUUUUAAAGAUCAGAGUGAUCUGGGCAAGAAACCAGUGCUAUCAGCCAGUAUUGCAUUUUGUUUACAUGUAAUAGAAAUCCAACUAAACAAGGAUUUUAUUUUCAUCAUGUUACAGAAAGUUAGGAUAUAGGAAGUCCUUCCUUGUAGUUGCUCAAGGAAAUCAUGAAGGACCAAGUUUAUUCUAGCUUCCUGCUCUGCCACCUUUAGCAAGUGGACAGUCCCCCUACCUCUCAUAGGCAAUGAACUUCUUCAUAUCCAAGCAUGUGCUUAGGGCAGAAGAAAGGGAUUGGUGAGAACAAAAAUCACAUGCCAGUGAAGUCUGUUCAUCUUAUAUUAGGAAAUAAUAGCUCCUGCAAAUGUCUUACUUGAUAGGCUUCUACCACUGGAACUGCCUCACAUGACUACCACUAGAUAGAAUGGAAUCUGGCUUGAUGAGUAUUUUUAAGUGGAUACAUUUACUUCCUAAACAAAACCAAUAUUCUAUUAAUAAAAGAGAAAGGAAGAAAGAUUCUUGUAAGGCAGCUAAUAUUUCUGUCACACAGAGAAAAACAAAUUGAUAAUGCAGUACAAGGUUGAUAUUUUAAGGUAGAGAUUUUUAGCUUGAGCAUUUAGCAUCCAUUUGUUCUUUUAAUGUAAAUGUCAAACAAAAUACAAAAAUCGUAUGUAUAAUUACCAAAAACUAUUUAAAAGUAAAUUUAUAAUUCACUCAAUAGAGUAAUAUAGAUUAAAUAAUUUUUGUAAAAUUUAACGUGUUUUUGCUUUCAAAAAAUACAAAAGAUAAAAAAAGAAUAUACAGCUAAACAGUCUAUAUGGAAAAAACCAUAAAAGUGUCAAAAGUAAGAUGAUGGCUUAUGAAAAUUACAUUUUUACAUUUAUGGAUGUGACCUGAAUGUAAAUGUAAGUAAAUUGUAAAUGUAUUAUAAAUGAAUGUAAAAACCAAAAUAAAGUUGUUUAUUGGCAAGAUUGAUUUAAAAAAAAGAAAAUAACGGGUGCUAGGUGAUAUUUUGUUGUGGUUUUGAUUUGCAUUUUUCUGAUGAUUAUUAAUGUUGAGCAUCUUUUUGUAUACCUAUUGGCCAUUUGCAUGUCUACUCAGGUUCUUUACCAAUUUUUAAAUAAAGUUAUUAUUAUUUUUGCUAUUGAGU
Molecule: long non-coding RNA, 2156 nt
Filed under: Homo sapiens (human)
Lineage: Eukaryota; Metazoa; Chordata; Mammalia; Primates; Hominidae
Description: long independently transcribed non-coding RNA 1527 (LINC01527)
Source: RNAcentral